This is a long non-coding RNA of Corythoichthys intestinalis (scribbled pipefish), 4918 nucleotides long. RefSeq lists it as uncharacterized. The transcript is spliced from 2 exons. The record is from RefSeq and is a predicted model, not a curated record. Lineage: Eukaryota; Metazoa; Chordata; Actinopteri; Syngnathiformes; Syngnathidae.
GCGGAUUGUUUUUGUCGUGUAAUUGAUUGUGUUUUUAAGCAAUUGAAGUAACAUGGAGAAAGUCAUAAUUACUCCUGAAUUGUCGUUUGUUUCUAUGUGCACUGCGACUGGUUAGCGACAAGUCCAGGGUGUGUGCUGACGCUGAUAAACUCCAAUUCACCCCUGACUUUUAUUAGUAAGAGUGAAAUAGAAAAUGGAUGGAUGGGUUGAUUUUAUUCCGUACUCAACUAAGGUAAUUUAGUCGUAUGGUCAUUCCUACCCUCAGUGUUAAGACUUAAUUGAAUGACUUUUUAACAACGCCAUUGAUUAAAUAGUAGAUUGUAAUUGCUUAGCAUAUGUUGUGCACGCCACGAAAAACAGUGGAAUUCAUUGUUGGGAAAAAAAAAAAAUCAUCAUUUCUAAUGCAUUUCUGCCCCACUUAUAAAAAUUACAUAUCUUCUCAUCCUUUGGUAUGCAUUCAUAUUUUUAGCUCAUCUUCUGUUUCUUCUUGCAUCUUGCUGAUUUACGAUGCUCAUUACGACUGUUUAUGCCCUGAGCUUCCUUCCCCUACCCACUCUCCUACACUGUCUAAUGAUAGUGCUACCAUAAUUGGAUCUAUUUUCUCCAUUUUUCCUUUGCUGGUCAAAGAACAUAAUGACCCCCCACUGUUUUUUAUGGUGAAACCUUAAAGUGGGUUUGAUGCCAAAUAAGAGGAAACUGCUAAAUGUGUUAACAAGGCCAAAACUUUGAAAAGUAGGGUGUAAUUUAACAUUUCAACAACAUUAGCAAAAUUUGCAACAACAACGGAUGCAAUACACACCUUAGUUUGCGCUGAGGGAAAAUACUUCCACACAGAUUUAAUAUUUUGUUACAUUUUGUUAAAUGUUAAAGACAUAAUGUGUGUUAGAAAUGAAAGGAAGAAGUAAGACUGUUCUUAAAGGUCUGUUUUUUUCCUUCGUUCACCACUCUCUUCAUAUAUCCGCCUCCUCGUCUCACUUUGUGGUUAUUCUGCACAGUGGAGCGAUUAUGCUUUUAGCUGAGGAAAAGUAGCAAGCGCGCACUUAAGAUUUCCAGAAGAACUGACCUUUCUCCCGACCAGGGAGCUGUUCAUCUAUUGAUGUCCACCUAUCAUUGUCUGAGGAUAUGGAUAAUUAAACCACUGACAUUUCAUGUUCAAUUUCUAAUUGCCAAUCUCCAACAUUUAAAGAAGCAGAUUAUUUGGCAAACAAGUUAGGUUAAAUCAAUUCAAUUUUUUUUUUUUUUUUUUCAUUAUUUCACAUUAAUGUUUCCCCACUUAUUUUAACCACAUUUGUAAACAGCAUAUUGAUCAGUUGUUGUUGUUUUUUUUUUUUUUUGCUUAUUUGACUUAAGUACUGUAUUUGUUUGUUAGUUUUUUUCUGUUUAUAUUACUAACUGAUAGCACCAUUUUACACUUCAAAGGGUAUGAUUCGAUACAAAAACAAAGCUGCUGUCAUUUGCUGUCAAACCGCUCGAAGUGUACAGACGCACAUUCUGAGCUCCUGAAAGCACGCUUUAAUGGUAGAUUUUGGGAGCAACCUGAUGUUUUUUUUAAAUUUUUUUAAACUAAUCUCUUUAAAACGAUAUAUUGAUUCUUGGUGAGAGCGUAUCGAUAACCUUUUAAUGCUACAAAGUAUUGCGAUAUAUCACCUUAACGCUUGCAAAAAGAAAGCGCUGUAUGAGUAUGUUAUCUCCCAAGGACAGGGCCUGCGAGGAGAAGUUUAAGAAAUAUAGAAAUAAGCUAAACUCCCUACACCAACUUGGACAUCAACUGAUACAAUGAACCCACUCAAAUUGACAAUAUGUGAAAUUCCAUGGCAAUCAGUGACUUUUGAAUGAUAUGUGAAAAAAAAACAAAACAAAACAAAAAAACUGAUAAUAACUGGACUGUAACACAUACAUGCUUGACUGUGCGUGCCGAGCUGUUGGGGGACGGGUAUCGAUAAGCAUUUGCUUUUUCUCGUCUUUCCUUUGUCUGUCAUCGUCUUUCUUUCGGGCAAAUUCCACACUCGGAACCUGUCAAUGAUUAUGAUGAUGAUGACAAUGACAAUAAAUUCAUUUAUUCAUUCAUUCAUUCAUUCAUUCAAAGACGUAACAGCUCGAUUACGAUUCAAUUCAGUUAGGAAGCCAUAUAAUGUGGGGAAAAAUUGAUUUAUUUUUGUAAUCUAGUAUUUAUUUUAAAGUUGGCCCUCUGAAGAAAUCGCUUUAAACACCUAAAGGUGACUGCAGUCUUUAUUAGAGGUGUUUAAAAAAAUCGAUUCUGCGAUUUAUCGCAAUAUUACAUCUAGCAAUUCCCAUAUCCAUUUAAAAUCGAUCUGUAUCGAUCCUUAAAUGUGUGUUUUUGGUAGUAAAAAACAAUUCAGUGGCUGCACUUCUACUCCCGUCCAGUAGUUGGCAGCGCGCAGCAGCAUUAACAUUAUCCUAGUAGAAAUUAGUGUACGUUGUCCUCUAGUGGUUGCUCGGAUUAGUCCUUCUAUAAAUCUAAAAUCUUUGGCUUAUUUUGGCCUUGACUGCAAAAACGGAGGUAUGGAGUAUUCAGAAUCCUGCAUUUAAGCAGGGUUGCACUAAAAAGAGAAAAUAUUACAAUGAAAGCCAUAUGUUUUUCAAACAUAAAAACAUGUUUACCUGAGUGCUGGAUGAGGUUUAAGGAUUAAAUUGAUUUGAAUGUAUUUAUGUCCAUUUUGAUUUAUUUUUUCGAAAGUGAUACAAAAUCGCAAGAAUUGUCUUCAAGUGUAGUAUCGGGAUGGAAUCGAAUUGUGACCUGUAAAUUGUGAUACGGAUGGUAUCUCCAGAUAUGAGGCAAUACACAACCCUGGUCACUAUAGUACUUCCUACCAGCUUGUACGACUGAUCCGGUAAUGCAACGAAGCAGGUGCAAGGACUGUUAUUUGAGUACCUGUGGUGUUUUAAAAAUCAAAACAACGUGAAUUUUCAAGCAACUGAUGACGAACGUUGUGAUAUAUCUAGUGAACAACUUAACAAUUGAUGUAUUUCAGGAUUACUGGUGGAUUUUGUAUCGAUUGAGGCGCCUGCUGUCGAGACAUUUGUAUCUGCUGCUUUCGCGAAUCGUCUUUUGUCCCAAUUCUAGUAGCAAAGUAGCAAGGCCUGAUGGCAUUCCAGUUUUCAUUAUAACAAGCUACCGGGUUGCCCUCCCACAAAAACAAUAAGCCAAAUCUGUUAAUACUUUGAUAAAUUAAGGGUUUAAAUUUAUUUAUUUUUUUUAAAUAAAAUGUCUUAAUAUUGCCAUUUCUAGCAGAUUAGGCCGCAAUUUGUUGCAUUGGGUACCUCGGCAACAGAGGUUGCGCUAGACUUUUUCGCUGUCUGUCAUUUUGACUGACAGUGUCAUAAAAAUCCGGUCAUAAUCUAUUUUUACCAGUCAAUUACAUUUUUAAAAUGAUAAUAAUGACAUAUUCUAUAGUAUUUAGUUUUCAUUCAUUUUUAAUUAAUAUUCUGUCCGAAUAAGCUUAAUGUAGUGGAGAAAACUGGAUUCUCGCUGAUUCAGGUUGAUUUUAGCUGUGUUCACGUCAGUGUGUUGGCCAAACACCACUUAAGGCCCACUCAAAGUAGAGGCAAUCACGGCACUUGGACAGGUGGCUGGAUUUCUCCUUUUUCUUUAAUGCAAAUCCUCUUAAAUCAACUUUAUACAGUCCAUUCAUCCCAACUGUCCAUGUAGAUGUGGAAAUGGUUAUAUUCUUGAGUAGGUGUUUGUGGGUAUAUAUGUGUGUAUCUGUGUGUGUGGUUUAUCUGUACAAAAGACAUGAAAAGAAACAAUAAAUAAAUAUACAUUGCUUAAAUUCAACUUAAUUACAUUUAAACAUGUAGAUGGAAUAUUCGAAGUUAAGCUUGAACUAUUUUCUACGCUCCAGCUAAGCACUUCCGGUUUCGGGAACUUAUUGUGAAGGCGGAUUCACUCUACUUCCGGUGCGCUAUGCCGCAAUUUGUCGCUAUUUUAGAAUCGCAGCAUAGCAACACGCUAACGGACUACCUCGCAAAACAAUCGGACGAACUAUCAUAACAACAGCAAAAGGUAAUCAUAACAAAUUGUCUACGUAAAUAUGAAUGCUGCUUGUGAUACUCACUUUGCAUUUACGCACAGCAAUGAACAAACACACAAUUAGACGCACGCUCAUGUCGUGCAUCCACCCGUGACUUUCUUACUAUUGACAUCCGCAUUCUGGUACGGUGCAUGCGCAAUCCAACUUUUCACCUAUUUACGUCAGCCAAAUGUGGGAAUCAAAUGAUGCUGAAGGCAUUGAACGAGCAACUGUGAACAUCUUAAGCAAACAAUCACAUAACUUUGUAGCCUUUUCUACACUUAACAAGAGGCAAACAGACAGCGGAGUUCACCAAUAGGGAAUGGGACGUACUACGUCAUUGUUUGGACCCUCCUCCAUGCUGGCAAUAUAAUUCACUUCCGGGCCGGCAGAGUCAAUGCGGAUUGUAACGUGUGGUAGUGCUAAGCUAACUCUUUCGGUGUUUUAGAAAGAAAAUAUGGGUACUUAUUGUUGCGUUACCGGGUGCAACAGCGUCUCCUACGACAAAAAAAGGGGUUAGGAAAAAUGGACUCACUUUUCACCGUUUUCCUGCAUGGAGGACCAAAUAUCAGAUCACGAAGGUACGACGGAUGGCUGGAUUGCAGCGGUUCGUCGGAAAAGCAUUUCUUAUGAUCAUAUUUCUGCUGGAAUGAGAGUGUAUUCCCCUCAUCUCUACUCUUGAAAACCUGCAUAUGAAAUGCUGACAACACAUCCCGAUUGGUCACCAUAUCUCUUCUUGGGUUAUUCUGAGGUCAAGCGCACCACAUCGGAGCGUUAUGAGAGGUUGGAAAGGCGAAGAGUGCACGCUGAAACUUCAGUUUGCUCUGCUCUUACAAACACAAUCCCAAGUGUUGUUAUGAAAAGUCAAUAAAAUAUGAAUACCAAAA